UACGGAGGGCGCAAGCGUUAAUCGGAUUUAUUGGGCGUAAAGGGCGCGUAGGCGGAAAGGAAAGUUAGAUGUGAAAUCCCGGGGCUCAACCCCGGGACUGCAUCUAAAACUUCCUUUCUCGAGGAUAAGCGGAGAAAAGGGAAUUCCACGUGUAGCGGUGAAAUGCGUAGAUAUGUGGAAGAACACCGGUGGCGAAGGCGCUUUGCUAGCUUACUCCUGACGCUGAGGCGCGAAAGCAAGGGUAGCAAACAGG
Molecule: unclassified non-coding RNA, 253 nt
Filed under: uncultured Chlamydiales bacterium
Lineage: Bacteria; Pseudomonadati; Chlamydiota; Chlamydiia; Chlamydiales
Description: contains 16S-23S intergenic spacer region
Rfam family: Bacterial small subunit ribosomal RNA
Source: RNAcentral